RNAcentral lists this ribosomal RNA (253 nucleotides) under uncultured bacterium. RNAcentral's name for it is "partial 16S ribosomal RNA". It matches the Rfam family "Bacterial small subunit ribosomal RNA", at positions 524 to 776 of the family's 1533-position model. The record is from RNAcentral.
UACGGGGGGUGCGAGCGUUGUCCGGAAUCACUGGGCGUAAAGCGCGCGUAGGCGGCUUGCUAAGGCUGUGGUGAAAGCCCGGGGCUCAACCCCGGGUCGGCCUUGCCGACUGUCAAGCUGGAGUACGGUAGGGGCAGGCGGAAUUCCGGGUGUAGCGGUGGAAUGCGUAGAGAUCCGGAGGAAGACCGGUGGCGAAGGCGGCCUGCUGGGCAGUUACUGACGCUGAUGCGCGACAGCGUGGGGAGCAAACAGG